AAUAAACGCUGGCGGCGUGCCUAACACAUGCAAGUCGAGCGAGAAAGUCCUUCGGGAUGAGUACAGCGGCGGACGGGUGAGCAACGCGUGAGUAUCUGCCCUUCAGUGAAGCAUACCACCGAGAAAUCGGUGUUAAUACUGCAUACGUCCCUACGGGGAGAAAGAUGGCCUCUUUGCUGUCGCUGAUGGAUGAGCUUGCGUACUAUUAGCUAGUUGGUAAGGUAAAGGCUUACCAAGGCGACGAUCCGUAGCGGGUCUGAGAGGAUGAUCCGCCACACUGGGACUGAGACACGGCCCAGACUCCUACGGGAGGCAGCAGUGGGGAAUUUUGGACAAUGGGCGCAAGCCUGAUCCAGCCAUGCCGCGUGUCUGAAGAAGGCCUUCGGGUUGUAAAGGACUUUUGUCGGGGAGCAAACCUACUAGGUUAAUACCUUAGUAGCUGAGAGUACCCGAAGAAUAAGCACCGGCUAACUACGUGCCAGCAGCCGCAGUAA
This 494-nucleotide ribosomal RNA is filed under the name uncultured bacterium. RNAcentral's name for it is "partial 16S ribosomal RNA". It matches the Rfam family "Bacterial small subunit ribosomal RNA", at positions 29 to 523 of the family's 1533-position model. The record is from RNAcentral.